This 447-nucleotide ribosomal RNA is filed under the name uncultured bacterium. RNAcentral describes it as "bacterial SSU rRNA". It matches the Rfam family "Bacterial small subunit ribosomal RNA", at positions 329 to 793 of the family's 1533-position model. The record is from RNAcentral.
GUCCAGACUCCUACGGGAGGCAGCAGUGGGGAAUAUUGCACAAUGGGGGAAACCCUGAUGCAGCGACGCCGCGUGAAGGAAGAAGUAUUUCGGUAUGUAAACUUCUAUCAGCAGGGAAGAAAAUGACGGUACCUGACUAAGAAGCCCCGGCUAACUACGUGCCAGCAGCCGCGGUAAUACGUAGGUGGCAAGCGUUGUCCGGAUUUACUGGGUGUAAAGGGAGCGUAGACGGCAGUGCAAGUCUGGAGUGAAAGGCGGGGGCUCAACCCCCGGACUGCUCUGGAAACUGUACGGCUGGAGUGCAGGAGAGGUAAGUGGAAUUCCUAGUGUAGCGGUGAAAUGCGUAGAUAUUAGGAGGAACACCAGUGGCGAAGGCGGCUUACUGGACUGUAACUGACGUUGAGGCUCGAAAGCGUGGGGAGCAAACAGGAUUAGAUACCCCUGUAA